GCUCUCUCCAUGAUCCAAUGAAUGUUGACAAUUUGAUCUCUGGUUCCUCUGCCUUUUCUAAACCCAGUUUGUACAUCUAGAGGAUCUGAGCACCCCUAGACUCGAGUCCCCAUCCUUAGUGACCCACAGUGCCGUCCACAGAUGAGCUGGGGUCUCAUCUGCUGGUAGGUAGUUAUGCCCCUUAGAUCCAGGAAUGUCUUGAGACAGAUGGCAGUGGGUUUUGUCUCUGAACGGUGCCAGUGCCGGGGUUGCAUCUGACACUCAGUAGGCAUUUCAUGGCAGGCCACAGGACUCCUGCGCCAUGGGAGGGCACCAUCUCCUCUGGGCAGGUGAGCAGCUGGCCCUCUCACCUCUGCCCACCAAAGCCAGCAGAGGGCAGCAGUGCCCUGCCCUGAGCCGUCGGGCAAAGGGGCGGGUACGGAGGGGCUGGACUGCCCAGGCUGGGCCACCGGGAUGAGGCGGGUUGGGUGCGAUUGCAUUGUGGGGAGGGAGGCCAGGACUCAUUCCUGGCACUGCUAGCUGCUCCUCGGCCCCGGCUAGGAGCCCCGCCCAGGACAAUGCCCCCUACAGCCGUCCUGUGUCCGUCACCACUGCCCCGGGGCAGCUGAACCCAGGAGGUAUGUGCCACGCCACCCAGGAGAUGCCUCUGCUGCUGCUGUCUGCCAGGGGCCCCGAGAUGGCACCCCGGCGUCUGCUCUGUGCCCACCUGCUGCUCAUGCUGCUUCUGCUGUGCCCGCCACCCGCCCCAACCGGGGCGCACCGCUUCUCAGCACCCAACACCACCCUCCACCACUUCCCACAGGCCCGGCUCACAGACAACACCAACCAGCUGCUGCUGGUCAGCGGGCGGGCCCGGGGGGGGGGGGCCUGCGGGCAGGUGCGGCACGGUGCG
This 892-nucleotide long non-coding RNA is filed under the name Ovis aries (sheep). Its description in RNAcentral is "lncRNA (ENSOARG00000025374.1)". Lineage: Eukaryota; Metazoa; Chordata; Mammalia; Artiodactyla; Bovidae. The record is from RNAcentral.